CAGCAGCCGCGGUAAUACGUAGGUGGCAAGCGUUGUCCGGAAUUAUUGGGCGUAAAGCGCGCGCAGGUGGUUUAAUAAGUCUGAUGUGAAAGCCCACGGCUCAACCGUGGAGGGUCAUUGGAAACUGUUAAACUUGAGUGCAGGAGAGAAAAGUGGAAUUCCUAGUGUGGCGGUGAAAUGCGUAGAGAUGUGGAGGAACACCAGUGGCGAGGGCGACUCUCUGGUCUGUAACUGACGCUGAGGAGCGAAAGCGUGGGGAGCGAACAGGAUUAGAUACCCCUGUAGUCCCUGUCUCUUAUAC
This 301-nucleotide ribosomal RNA is filed under the name uncultured bacterium. RNAcentral describes it as "partial 16S ribosomal RNA". It matches the Rfam family "Bacterial small subunit ribosomal RNA", at positions 509 to 807 of the family's 1533-position model. The record is from RNAcentral.